UACGUAGGGUGCGAGCGUUGUCCGGAAUUAUUGGGCGUAAAGAGCUCGUAGGCGGUGUGUCACGUCGGCCGUGAAAACCUGCAGCUUAACUGUGGGCGUGCGGUCGAUACGGGCAUCACUGGAGUUCGGCAGGGGAGACUGGAAUUCCUGGUGUAGCGGUGAAAUGACGCAGAUAUCAGGAGGAACACCGGUGGCGAAGGCGGGUCUCUGGGCCGAUACUGACGCUGAGGAGCGAAAGCGUGGGGAGCAAACAGG
Molecule: ribosomal RNA, 255 nt
Filed under: uncultured bacterium
Lineage: Bacteria
Description: partial 16S ribosomal RNA
Rfam family: Bacterial small subunit ribosomal RNA
Source: RNAcentral